RNAcentral lists this transfer RNA (62 nucleotides) under Chamberlainia hainesiana. Its description in RNAcentral is "tRNA-Trp". Lineage: Eukaryota; Metazoa; Mollusca; Bivalvia; Unionida; Unionidae. The record is from RNAcentral.
GGGGAUUUAAGUUAACUAAAACUAAUAGCCUUCAAAGCUUUAAUUGAUAUCGUCAAUCUCUA